Molecule: ribosomal RNA, 489 nt
Filed under: uncultured bacterium
Lineage: Bacteria
Description: partial 16S ribosomal RNA
Rfam family: Bacterial small subunit ribosomal RNA
Source: RNAcentral
GAUGAACGCUAGCUACAGGCUUAACACAUGCCAGUCGAGGGGCAGCAUGAACUUAGCUUGCUAAGUUUGAUGGCGACCGGCGCACGGGUGAGUAACACGUAUCCAACCUGCCGAUGACUCGGGGAUAGCCUUUCGAAAGAAAGAUUAAUACCCGAUGGCAUAGUUCUUCCGCAUGGUAGAACUAUUAAAGAAUUUCGGUCAUCGAUGGGGAUGCGUUCCAUUAGGUUGUUGGCGGGGUAACGGCCCACCAAGCCUUCGAUGGAUAGGGGUUCUGAGAGGAAGGUCCCCCACAUUGGAACUGAGACACAGUCCAAACUCCUACGGGAGGCAGCAGUGAGGAAUAUUGGGCAAUGGACGAGAGUCUGAACCAGCCAAGUAGCGUGAAGGAUGACUGCCCUAUGGGUUGUAAACUUCUUUUAUACGGGAAUAAAGUGAGGCACGUGUGCCUUUUUGUAUGUACCGUAUGAAUAAGGAUCGGCUAACUCCGUG